GAUGAACGCUGGCGGCGUGCCUAAUACAUGCAAGUCGAGCGAACGGACGAGAAGCUUGCUUCUCUGAUGUUAGCGGCGGACGGGUGAGUAACACGUGGAUAACCUACCUAUAAGACUGGGAUAACUUCGGGAAACCGUAGCUAAUACCGGAUAAUAUUUUGAACCGCAUGGUUCAAAAGUGAAAGACGCUCUUGCUGUCACUUAUAGAUGGAUCCGCGCUGCAUUAUCUAGUUGGUAAGGUAACGGCUUACCAAGGCAACGAUGCAUAGCCGACCUGAGAGGGUGAUCGGCCACACUGGAACUGAGACACGGUCCAGACUCCUACGGGAGGCAGCAGUAGGGAAUCUUCCGCAAUGGGCGAAAGCCUGACGGAGCAACGCCGCGUGAGUGAUGAAGGUCUUCGGAUCGUAAAACUCUGUUAUUAGGGAAGAACAAAUGUGUAAGUAACUGUGCACAUCUUGACGGUACCUAAUCAGAAAGCCACGGCUAACUACGUG
RNAcentral lists this ribosomal RNA (497 nucleotides) under uncultured bacterium. RNAcentral describes it as "partial 16S ribosomal RNA". It matches the Rfam family "Bacterial small subunit ribosomal RNA", at positions 28 to 507 of the family's 1533-position model. The record is from RNAcentral.